Long non-coding RNA from Astatotilapia calliptera (eastern happy), 2634 nucleotides. Lineage: Eukaryota; Metazoa; Chordata; Actinopteri; Cichliformes; Cichlidae. The record is from Ensembl.
CUGAUUCCCCCAUCUGCAGCAGGUGUCCGGUUGUCUUCAUUCUCCGCCAGCCUGGAUCCGCUCCAGGCCAAACUGGAACGGGUGGGAGGACAUCGGCCGUGGUCUGAGUGAACGGAGUUUGGACAAAAGCUGUGUGCACACAAAAACAAGUUGGGAUUCUGUGUGUGUAUGUGUGCUGGAGAAAAAAAAAAAAAAAAAGGAAAAGGGUCUCUCUCUGUCUCUGUGAGAGGAAAAAGGUGGGGGCCGAGUGAGCCCGCGGGGCCGAGCGGGUCCGCGGGAGCGAGCGUGUAUGCUGUAUGAGGAAGAAGGGAGUGAGAGGGAGCGAGUGAAAAGAGUAAUCGAGUAUUUGGUGAUUUUUUAUUAUUUCAGAGGCACUGGGUAAGAGUUUUGACUUUAGCUGUGAGAGUUGUGAAAAGAGCAGGUUUUUCUUUUGUUGUAGACUGUGAGUAAUCGGUGUUUUUCUGCCUAUUGUGCUGCGUGGAAGACACAGAAGUGUAGAAAUGUUUGUGGUUUAUCUUUGUUUGACGUUUUAUAUAGAGUUGGUUGAUUCAGGGUGAUUUCUCCCGUUUAAGGGAGGAGUUGCAUUGUGGUUAUGUUAAAGCUUUGCUGUAGGGGUAUGUGUGUGAUUUUGUGCUGGCUUCGCAUGUUUAAAUGGAUGCAUAGAAGUUUGUCAGUGAGAAAUUGUUAUGGUGGGGUUUUAAAGUUAGUAAAGAGUCAAACAACGCCCACUGUUUUAAAAAGGCCCAAAACAUCAUAAAAGACACCUCACAUCCUGGCCACUCCCUGUUCGAACUGUUGCCCUAAGGCAGACGGUACAGGGCAAUCAGAGCAAGGACUAAUAGACUCAAACACAGCUGUUAUCCAACUGCAAUAACACAUCUGAAUACUACAAAAAUGUCCACCAUGCCACUCUUGUGUUAAUCUAUGCACGGUCUGAAGCAUGACGGUGGGAAUACUUAGUAUUUUAAGUAUUCUAUCUAUUUUAUUGAUUGAAUUUUAUUGUUUUUUUAUAUUUGAUAUUACUAGGGAUGAUGCAAUGAUCAGGGACCAUUCUUAAUGUCGUCGGUCUCAUGACAAUGACAAUAAAGUUUUUGAUUUUGAUUCUGAUUCUGAAAUACACCCCCCUCAAGAGUUCAAUGAUUUAGGCAGUUAUGUUUAUACAAAUACUAAAUGUAUGUUUAGUGUCUUCAUACAGGUGUUUUUUCUUAACCUGGAAGCCUGAGUACGGCAGCAGAAGACAGGCCAAGCUUUGGCUAAAAUUCACGGCUGGACACCAGAGUUGUCCUCACCCCUCCCGGUAAAACAAAAAAGAGAGAAUGUAGUUUGAGGCGGGUUUUUCUCGCUGACCUGCUCUGGGUGCUGUGUCCCUGAAUCUCACCAGUGUUAACCUCUGGCGGAAGACAUGGAGAAAAGGAAAAGAUGUUCCUGGUAAAUCACUGAAACAAAUAAAACCACACACAACCAGAGAAAGAUAUGAGAAGGGUGAGGAACAGACACAUGUGCGUGUUAGAGAAAUGCCUCGUUUGAGAAAAAGUUAAAGUAACCCAUAUACAGACGCACCCAUACAUGCAAUGAAGAAACAGCUUACAUACAUGUGCACGUACAUGCAAGGUUAAAGUAGCGACACUUAACAUACACCUGUUUUUAAAUGAUAUAGUUCAUACAUUACUGACAAUUAAACGCUUUGGGUUGCAGGACAACAACGUAACGUCAAAAGACAAAGACACUGGUCUGAGGAUUAAGUGAGGACACGACAAAUUUAGUGGUUAAAAGGGUCGACUUGGGACAUGUUUUUGUUGAUUGUUUAAGACAAAUGACUACUGAAUGAUAGGAAAUUCCUUUUUAGGUUUCUAAACAGGAUCUUAAGAAUUUUAACACGUACCUGUGUUGUCCUGUCAACUUGAGGGGUUAUGAGUUGAUUAUAUGGAGAAAAAAAAAAAAAAAAAAAAACAAAAACAAAAAAGGGGGGAGACGAGAUCUCGUUGUUUCUCCCCUCUCGGGAUAACACAGCCAACACAGCACAGCCAACACAACAUCAUUUUCCUGUUCGCCUGUUUUGUUUUGUUUUUGUUUUUUCUGAGAGCCGAAGCUGACCUGGACUCCUACCCUCCCCUCUACCAUCGUUGCCCUCUCCGCGACCAUCUUUGACCCUUUGACCCCUGAAGGCCACAGCAGCUGGACUCACAACAACAACUUGAGGAUGUCAACAGUGCUGCAAAAGAGUGAUCUCAUGCAGCAGAGACGGAGAGCACUAAACCUAAAGCCCGUUUCACUACACGGGGGAAAUUCCCAGGCUGCGUCAGCUGACAGAGCUGUGACGAGACGCGCAUUAAGCCCGGAGGAAAAGGGACGGUGAGCAGAAGGAUGCUGACCUCUGAGAAGAGCCGAACAGCAGAGCUGCAGAAGGCCGUGGAGCAAAGUAAGGAAGAUGCAGGCAGCUGCAACAACGGAUGAAAACAGACCCAAAGAGGAGGGGAGGACCCUAGGCCAUGCGUCAGGCCGCUGGUUUACCUAAACUACAGAACAGGAAGGUGAUGAACACAAACAUAUACCAACACACGAACACACACUUCUGCAUGCGCCUACUUAGAAUGAAGGGAAACACACACAUGAACACUUAUGCACUUGUUGAGG